This 264-nucleotide signal recognition particle RNA is filed under the name Clostridia bacterium. Its description in RNAcentral is "signal recognition particle sRNA large type". It matches the Rfam family "Bacterial large signal recognition particle RNA". From Rfam's summary of the family: The signal recognition particle (SRP) is a universally conserved ribonucleoprotein involved in the co-translational targeting of proteins to membranes. Archaeal SRP consists of a 7S RNA and homologues of the eukaryotic SRP19 and SRP54 proteins. The record is from RNAcentral. Lineage: Bacteria; Bacillati; Bacillota; Clostridia.
CUGCGAUAGGCGGGGAGUUAGCGGUGCCCUGUAACUUGCAAUCCGCUAUAGCAAGGUCGAACACCUUUUUAGGUUUAUUUUAUGGAAUACAGCGUAACGCAAGUAACGUUGAUUGUAAGGUCUUAUGCAAUUGAUAACCGCGAACCGUGUCAGGAUAGGAAUAUAGCAGCACUAAACGGACCUAUCAAUGUGCCAUAAGGUAGCUUUACAGGAGUUAACUACGUUAAGUGCGGUUCGGUAAAGUUUAUCGAAACUGGCUCGCAG